AGAGUUUGAUCCUGGCUCAGGACGAACGCUGGCGGCGUGCCUAAUACAUGCAAGUCGAGCGGACAGAUGGGAGCUUGCUCCCUGAUGUUAGCGGCGGACGGGUGAGUAACACGUGGGUAACCUGCCUGUAAGACUGGGAUAACUCCGGGAAACCGGGGCUAAUACCGGAUGCUUGUUUGAACCGCAUGGUUCAAACAUAAAAGGUGGCUUCGGCUACCACUUACAGAUGGACCCGCGGCGCAUUAGCUAGUUGGUGAGGUAAUGGCUCACCAAGGCAACGAUGCGUAGCCGACCUGAGAGGGUGAUCGGCCACACUGGGACUGAGACACGGCCCAGACUCCUACGGGAGGCAGCAGUAGGGAAUCUUCCGCAAUGGACGAAAGUCUGACGGAGCAACGCCGCGUGAGUGAUGAAGGUUUUCGGAUCGUAAAGCUCUGUUGUUAGGGAAGAACAAGUGCCGUUCAAAUAGGGCGGCACCUUGACGGUACCUAACCAGAAAGCCACGGCUAACUACGUGCCAGCAGCCGCGGUAAUACGUAGGUGGCAAGCGUUGUCCGGAAUUAUUGGGCGUAAAGGGCUCGCAGGCGGUUUCUUAAGUCUGAUGUGAAAGCCCCCGGCUCAACCGGGGAGGGUCAUUGGAAACUGGGGAACUUGAGUGCAGAAGAGGAGAGUGGAAUUCCACGUGUAGCGGUGAAAUGCGUAGAGAUGUGGAGGAACACCAGUGGCGAAGGCGACUCUCUGGUCUGUAACUGACGCUGAGGAGCGAAAGCGUGGGGAGCGAACAGGAUUAGAUACCCUGGUAGUCCACGCCGUAAACGAUGAGUGCUAAGUGUUAGGGGGUUUCCGCCCCUUAGUGCUGCAGCUAACGCAUUAAGCACUCCGCCUGGGGAGUACGGUCGCAAGACUGAAACUCAAAGGAAUUGACGGGGGCCCGCACAAGCGGUGGAGCAUGUGGUUUAAUUCGAAGCAACGCGAAGAACCUUACCAGGUCUUGACAUCCUCUGACACCCCUAGAGAUAGGGCUUCCCCUUCGGGGGCAGAGUGACAGGUGGUGCAUGGUUGUCGUCAGCUCGUGUCGUGAGAUGUUGGGUUAAGUCCCGCAACGAGCGCAACCCUUGAUCUUAGUUGCCAGCAUUCAGUUGGGCACUCUAAGGUGACUGCCGGUGACAAACCGGAGGAAGGUGGGGAUGACGUCAAAUCAUCAUGCCCCUUAUGACCUGGGCUACACACGUGCUACAAUGGACAGAACAAAGGGCAGCGAGACCGCGAGGUUAAGCCAAUCCCACAAAUCUGUUCUCAGUUCGGAUCGCAGUCUGCAACUCGACUGCGUGAAGCUGGAAUCGCUAGUAAUCGCGGAUCAAACAUGCCGCGGUGAAUACGUUCCCGGGCCUUGUACACACCGCCCGUCACACCACGAGAGUUUGUAACACCCGAAGUCGGUGAGGUAACCUUUAUGGAGCCAGCCGCCGAAGGUGGGACAGAUGAUUGGGGUGAAGUCGUAACAAGGUAGCC
This 1512-nucleotide ribosomal RNA is filed under the name Bacillus sp. CTSP11. Its description in RNAcentral is "bacterial SSU rRNA". It matches the Rfam family "Bacterial small subunit ribosomal RNA". The record is from RNAcentral. Lineage: Bacteria; Bacillati; Bacillota; Bacilli; Caryophanales; Bacillaceae.